Molecule: long non-coding RNA, 1139 nt
Organism: Daphnia carinata
Lineage: Eukaryota; Metazoa; Arthropoda; Branchiopoda; Diplostraca; Daphniidae
Exons: 2
Source: RefSeq, a predicted model, not a curated record
CUCGCCAUGGUCUGUGUUACCGCCGUGCCGUCUUAAAAUUUUAUCGUGUACCAUCCAAAACACUACACGAACAAAAAAAACCGAGUCAGGGUGUGGCCGAGCUUAAAAAUGGGCACCUUUUUUUUCCCGAUGCGUCGUCCUAUGUGUAUUUUCUCAUUUGGAAUUUUCUACCAUUUUGCCUUGCAACGGAAUGCCAUCCGUGGCCCACACACACAUUUUUCUAAUGCUUUUAACGAUGAAAGAAGAACACGUUCACGUUUUUCCUCUUUCAGAAAAAAUACAUUAUCGUCAGUGACGAGCCGUCGGCACCCGACAAAGACACCUAUUUGACGCCGCUUUGUCCAAGUCGACGCCUUGUACAUCAAACGCACUGCGUAGACUUGCUUAAGAAUAAGCACAUUGUUUAAUUUCUUGUUUGUUUCUUUUCUUUUUUUUGCUUUCGUAAUGACGAGUCUGAUGGUAACACACACUAUCUCGCUGUUCUAUUUUCAGUUCGUGAGGAGGCCAGUAGGCGGGGUGUCGUCAGCUCAGCUCAGCUCGGGCGGAUUCUAACACCUUAUAAUGGAUAAACGAACUUCAUAACAGCCAUGACCUUAUUUUCCCCUUACACACACAAAAAACGCAGCCCUGCUGUCUCGCCUUUUCUGCUUCUUAAUAAUUUUUGUUUCUUUUAUGUAGAAAGGACGCUAUCUCUUCGUUUGGGGUCCAUACACCACGGGAGAUGAUUUUCUGAUUGUCUAUUUCACCUUGUUGCAUUUGAUGGCUGUCUCAUUAUCCGCUAAGGAUGCCGCUCUUUUGAUGGAUAGUGAUUUAACCACCUUCUCACUUUUAGUUCUCCAUCGAGAGGUGCAGCAAUGCAGGUGUGGCACCGUCUAUUCAUUCUCAUCCGCUGAGCCGCUGCUGCACAUCAAUAUUGGGCUUGAUUGAUUAGAAAAGAGCUUGUUACCUCACGAUUGGUCGAGAUAAAAUGAUGAAAUAACAGUGUACAGCUAGUUGCCAUCGCCCUUUGUCCACACAAUCGAUUUUUUUGUCUGACUGUCUAAUUAUUUUCGGUUGUCCUAAAGGAUUAACUGUCCGUUUGUUGAGCUCCGCCUUGUAUUCGACAUUUGAUAUCUAAAAUUACACCCAACGAAAAUGUA